AACGAACGCUGGCGGCAUGCCUAACACAUGCAAGUCGAACGAGACCUUCGGGUCUAGUGGCGCACGGGUGCGUAACGCGUGGGAACCUGCCCUUAGGUUCGGAAUAACUCCCCGAAAGGGGUGCUAAUACCGGAUAAUGUCUUCGGACCAAAGAUUUAUCGCCUUUGGAUGGGCCCGCGUUGGAUUAGCUAGUUGGUAGGGUAAAAGCCUACCAAGGCGACGAUGCAUAGCUGGUCUGAGAGGAUGACCAGCCACACUGGGACUGCGACACGGCCCAGACUCCUACGGGAGGCAGCAGUGGGGAAUAUUGGACAAUGGGCGAAAGCCUGAUCCAGCAAUGCCGCGUGAGUGAUGAAGGCCUUAGGGUUGUAAAGCUCUUUUACCCGGGAUGAUAAUGACAGUACCGGGAGAAUAAGCUCCGGCUAACUCCGUG
This 433-nucleotide ribosomal RNA is filed under the name uncultured bacterium. RNAcentral describes it as "partial 16S ribosomal RNA". It matches the Rfam family "Bacterial small subunit ribosomal RNA", at positions 29 to 507 of the family's 1533-position model. The record is from RNAcentral.